This is a long non-coding RNA of Diceros bicornis minor, 2593 nucleotides long. RefSeq lists it as uncharacterized. Lineage: Eukaryota; Metazoa; Chordata; Mammalia; Perissodactyla; Rhinocerotidae. The transcript is spliced from 3 exons. The record is from RefSeq and is a predicted model, not a curated record.
GCGGCUGUGGCAGUUCUAGGCAUCACGGACACAUUCAAAGGCAAGGGCCUGGACGGGGAACAGCAGAAGCAAGCUCUUCUCUUGCACUUGCCUCUUUUAUCGAAAGCAAAAUCUUUUCCAGAAGCCCCCAGGAGACAUCUGCUUACUUCUCAGUUGCUAGAACAGUCAGAGGCCAAUCCCAGCUAUAGGGCAUCUGGGAAAUGGCAUCGCAAAAAGAGAAAUGGUGCCUGUGAUGCUGUGAUUUAUAAUAAGAAAUAUAUAUUUGGUCUUCAUUCCCAUUUUGGCACAGAACUCCUAAAACCUUUGGAAUUUCCUAAAUGAUGAGAGUGAUAAAGGCGUCUUUUGUUAUGUUAAUGAGUUGCUUAUGCCUCGCUCUUCACUCAGAAUGCCUCUGUCACCGCCUGCUGUGUUGUCCUGGUGCUUGUGUUCUCCUACAAAAGGGAGAUGGAACAAGUCUGGCAUGCCUGGUUCACUGUGAGUGUCCUCCCCCCGUCCUGCGCCAUGAGAGUGAACGUCAAAGUCAAGACCUGAAUGCCCUUCAGUGUACGGUUCAGUGUACAGCAAAACCUGCUCGCCGGUUUUGGAUCUGGCUAAUCUUUCUCCAGUGUUCUCCUCACCCCUAAUUUGUGAAUCAGAGCCUAAAUCCCACAGACAUGAAGACAGUAGAACAGCAGAGUCUGUCUGCAAGGUACAAAUUAGCAUCAGAUCUGAUGCUAAUGGGAUAGGAAGAAGAAAAUGUUUAGAAUCAACAAAUUUGGCUCCAAACCUACAUUGAACCUCUUUCUCUCAAAAGUCUGUGUGUUCAUUUAGAUGCUCCUCAAGCUGUCAGAUAAAUAACCGGAUGUACCACAAUGGGCUGAGAAAGUCUAUUCCUGGGUUCCAAACUCCUUUUACCCUCCUUCUGUAGGUGGCCUGCUCUGCAGCCGUGAUCACCCUGGCGGCCUUGGCAAAUCUGCCCAGCACAGCGCUGACCAUCAUCAUUCAGAGGGACUGGAUUGUGAGCUUCACAGGUGACAACAGAGGCCAGCUGGCUGGUGAGCUGUGCCACCGCAGGGUUCACAGGUCAUCACGGGUUACCUACUCAGCUGAGAAGUAGGCCUGGCUUAGUGAACAGAGUUGAUGAGCCAAUCAGGGCUCCAAGCGAAGCAGCCAAGUAACCUUUAGGAGAAAGGUAUUUGGAGUCAAACAGACCUGGAUUUGAAUCCAGCUAAAACUAGCUAAUGCUCUUGCCAGCUGCAAGUUACUUAAUAUCUCAAGACUUUACUUUCCUCAUCUGUAGAUUGGGAGAAAUAACGACCACCCUCCCUCUCCCUGCCACCAGCUCAUUUUUGCAAAGGAUUCUGAGAUAUGAGAAUUGUAAAGCACUUGGCUGGUGCUACGUCUGCUCAUAGGAAGCACAUAAGAAAUGGAUGAUAUUGUUAUUAUCAAAAGGAUAUAUAGACUGUACUUUAGGGAAAGAAGCUACUCAGAAUACAUUAUAGAAGUUCCUUGGUAAUUUUAGACCUGGAAAAUAAGUGAAUCAAAAGAUUUCUUAGGGGCCGGCCCCAUGGCAUAGUGGUUAAGUUCGGCACGCUCCGUUUUGGUGGCCCAGGUUCCUGAGUUCGGAUCCCGGUGUGGACCUACACUGCUCGUCAGCCAUGUUGAGGUGGCAACCCACAUACAAAAUAGAGGAAGACUGGUACAGAUGUUUGCUCAGGGCUAAUCUUCCUCACACACACACAAAAAGAUUUCUUAAUUCUGGCCAGGGAUAAGCUUCUACUUUCCUCCAAAUAUUCAUCCCCAAAUGUGACUGUUGAUUAUUACUUAUCACUGAUAGUGGGAGGUAGAUUUUUUUUCAAUAAUGGAGCUAAAUGGAAGAAUCUGGCAUCUUCUUUGUUUUUUUCUUCCGUUUAUAAAACUUGGACCAUUCACACUGUGAGAUAUUCAAAUUGCCAACUUAAAGCUGGAGAUCUUGUCCUACCCUGUAUUUGUGCAAUUGGUACUCUCUGCUAGAAAAUGUUCGUGAGUUUUGAUAGCCAAGAUAAAGGAAGCUAUUACAGAGGAGUCUAUUAAAAUAUACUCCUUACAAAGAGUAGAAGCCCCUUAUAAUCAUGUUUUCUUUCAAACUACACUUAUUUGCAUGUACUGUGGCUUAAAUAACUACCCAAAAUAAAACAGCUAUGUGGUAAAAGCUGGAUGACAUGGUGUUGAAAGUGUCCUCUGUCUCUGGGUGAAAGAAACUCUUCCUAGUGUCUGUUAGUUAAUUUUAAAGAAAUCUAAAAUAAAAUACAGAUUCUGGUUUGGGGUUCAUUGUAAUUUUUAAAAUGAUCUUGUAAAUAUAUUCUUCAAUGAUGGUGGGAUAGUUAAGAGAAUAAGCUUUGUGGUCAGACUGCCUGGGUUUGAAGCUCAGCUCCACCGUUUACCUUCUCUGUGACCUUGAGCCAAUAACCUUACCUCUUUCUGCCUCAGUUUCCUAAUUUGUAAAAGGGAGAUACUAUUGACCUCUUAGAGUUACUGUGAGGAUUAAGUGAGAUGGCUCUAUGUAGAAGGCUUAGAAUCAUGCACCUGGCACAGAGGAAGUAUCCAACUACUUCUGUCCUCUCUGUUUGUUACC